This 253-nucleotide ribosomal RNA is filed under the name uncultured bacterium. RNAcentral's name for it is "partial 16S ribosomal RNA". It matches the Rfam family "Bacterial small subunit ribosomal RNA", at positions 524 to 776 of the family's 1533-position model. The record is from RNAcentral.
UACAGAGGGUGCGAGCGUUAAUCGGAAUUACUGGGCGUAAAGCGUGCGUAGACGGUUAUUUAAGUCGGAUGUGAAAGCCCCGGGCUCAACCUGGGAAUUGCAUUCGAGACUGAAUAGCUAGGGUGCGGUAGAGGGAAGCGGAAUUUCCGGUGUAGCGGUGAAAUGCGUAGAUAUCGGAAGGAAUACCGGUGGCGAAGGCGGCAUCCUGGACCGGCAUUGACGCUGAUGAGCGAAAGCUAGGGGAGCAAACGGG